Molecule: ribosomal RNA, 117 nt
Organism: Danio rerio (zebrafish)
Lineage: Eukaryota; Metazoa; Chordata; Actinopteri; Cypriniformes; Danionidae
Source: Ensembl
UCUUACAACCAUAUCACCCUGCAGCCCAAGACUGGUUACUCACUGAAGAUAAGCAGGGCUGAGCCUGGUCAAUACCUAAAUAGGAGACCACAUGGGAAAACUAGGUAGCUGUUGGAA